This 354-nucleotide ribosomal RNA is filed under the name Triticum aestivum (bread wheat). RNAcentral describes it as "partial small subunit ribosomal RNA". Lineage: Eukaryota; Viridiplantae; Streptophyta; Magnoliopsida; Poales; Poaceae. The record is from RNAcentral.
AUGAAGGCACAUGAAGGAAGGAUGCUAGCCCGACAACAAAAUCUCAAAUGGUCAAGACCACCUGUUGGAAUUCUCAAGAUCAACACAGAUGCAGCCUUUCAUGGUAACUCCAAUGAUGGAGGAUGGGGCAUGGUUAUUAGAAAUGAUAAGGGUGAAGCUCUAGCUGCAGGUGCAGGCAAACUAGAAUGGGUGGCUGAUGCUUUCCAAGCUGAAGCAAUGGCUAUGUUAUAUGCUAUAAAUAUUGCUAGCCAAAUGGGUUGUGACAAAGUAAUGUUAGAGACAGAUUCAGUUCAGUUAAGGAAGGCUGUAUCUACUGAAGAACAUGAUUUGUCUGCAAUAGGGAAUGAUUGCUAG